RNAcentral lists this ribosomal RNA (68 nucleotides) under Bacillus anthracis (anthrax bacterium). The record is from RNAcentral. RNAcentral also lists the same sequence under 2 other names. Lineage: Bacteria; Bacillati; Bacillota; Bacilli; Caryophanales; Bacillaceae.
UCUGGUAAUGAUGGCAGAGAGGCCACACCCGUUCCCAUACCGAACACGGAAGUUAAGCUCUCUAGCGC